AGCCAUAAGCUAUUAUUUAUGGUUAAACCUGCUCAAUGAGUCAAUUUAAAUAGCCGCAGUACAUUGACUGUGCAAAGGUAGCAUAAUCAAUUGGCUUAUAAUUGAAGUCUAGUAUGAAUGGGAAGCCGGGAAAUAUCUGUCUCAACUGGAACUAUAUAAUUUACUUAAUGAGUGAAAAUUCUCAUAGGAUGAAGAAAGACGAGAAGACCCUAGAAAUUUUAUGACAUACUCUUAUAUAUUUAUUUUGUUGGGGCGACAUAGUAACAUAUAACUUACUAUUUAAUACAAGCAGCUACUUAGUGGAAAGAUUAAAUUACUCUAGGGAUAACAGCAUUAUUCAAAAUGAGUUUGUGACCUCGAUGUUGGACUAGGAAAUGGUUUCUUUAGAAGAGAAAUUAUCCGGCUCUGUUCGAGCUUCAUCUCCUAC
This 427-nucleotide ribosomal RNA is filed under the name Trochulus clandestinus putonii. RNAcentral's name for it is "partial large subunit ribosomal RNA". It matches the Rfam family "Bacterial large subunit ribosomal RNA", at positions 1830 to 2599 of the family's 2925-position model. The record is from RNAcentral. Lineage: Eukaryota; Metazoa; Mollusca; Gastropoda; Stylommatophora; Hygromiidae.